CUGCCAGUGGCACCCCAAGGCACUCUGGGCAGAGGUUCCACUGCUCGCAGCCCAGCAGGCAAACGCUAGAACUCGCUAGCUCCUUUAUCGUUUCAAGAUGCGAAUGAAGCGUCCUCCUGUGGGGCUUGGGAGAUGGCUUCCAUGGCAACUGCCACAGAGGUGACAGGUCCGAGAAGCGUGGGAGAAUUCGCUUCCUGAGGUUAAACCAAGGACAGCUAGAAGACCGGAGGAAGUGAAAGAUCCAUCUCCCCUCCCCCGCCCUCGGAGCGCUUGUUCCGAGGAUGGUUCUUUGUACUGCCUGUGCUGUUAACAUGCUGACUUGUUUUUCUAUCCCAUCCUUUCCUGUCUUCAGUUUGUCUUUCUUCCCCUUUGGCACCUUGAAUUUGCGUAUCACCAAAAUUGUUAGCAUGCAAUCUCUGUAUGGGGUUCUCUUUUCUAGGAGACAUGACUGACUUACGAUGUUCAUCAUUCAGAGGUAACUGAUGGAUUUGAGGUACAGUAUUUCCAUUUGAUUUUUCAGACUUUCAAUACAUACGCACAGAUUCAUAACAUAUAAUACUGUUUUUGCAUGCCCUCGAUCUUCAUGAACAUUUAGAACAUAAGGCUACUUUUCUGUCGCCUUACUAGAGUUGCUUUUUUCAUCUAAUGUCAUGUUUGUGAUCAUUGCCCAAAUUGAAAGACAUCCCUCCUGUCCUUUCAUUUCACUGCUCUAGUGUAUUCACAAAUUAUUCUACAUCAGGGAUAAAUGUAUUACUUGUUACUUUUUCAGUCAAUUGGCUUAAUCAUCAGGUUGUUGAUGUACAUUUGUUUUCUAUUUUUGGCUUUAAUAAAUAACUGUAAAGAAUAAUCUUACACUAAUGGGGCAGAAUUUUGCUAGGUUUACACUUAGUAGAGGAAUUGUAGAUCACUGGUUUUACUAGAUAUUGGAAAAAUGCUCUCCAAAAUCCUUGUACAAUUAUUACAUGCAAUAUAUGAAGAUCUCAUUGCUCUGCAUUAUUACCAAUAUUUUGUAUUGUCAGAUUUAUAAAUUCAUCCAUUCCUAUAGCUGUGAAAUAGUGUGUGGCUGUUUAAUAUUCUGUGUUGGAAGUUCAGUAUCUUUUCAUAAAUUUCUUGCUGAUAUAGAUUUUCUCCUUCCUUUGUUGAUUUUGAAUUGUUUUCUUAUUGCCUUGCAGUUUUUAUUAAUGCCUUAGAUACCUGUCUGAUCCCAAACCAUGGUUUGUUUUGUUCUGUUUGUAGUCUUUUUUUAUUCAGAAAUGUUUAAUUUCAGCCCAAUUUUAGUGUAACCAAUUGAUGAUUUUUAAAUGAAUUUUACUAUUGUGUUAUUUAAGAAGUUCUGAAACACAGAUAUUCUCAUAUUUUUACAUGUCUUAUAGAUUUUCUUUUCCUAUUUGAUUCAUCUUAAAUUGGCUUCUGCAGAGGAUGUGAGGAUUUGGAUUUUCUAAUGCAGGGAGACCAGUAUUGAGUAAGAUCUGUGCCUAUGGAAGUAUAUGCUAGUGGAAUCACAUGAUCCUAGGGUUGGAAGUUGCCUUGCUGGUGCAUGAUCAUCUACCUCAAUCCAAAGGAUUUGAGCAUUACUCUCCAACUACAAAAGACCUCCGAACUGAGAAGGAAUGAAUCUCUGACCCAUUUGUGAAUAAGCCAGGUGAACUGACUUUGUGCUAGAGAGGAUCAACUGGUUGAGAGUGCAAAUGAUGAUGGCCUUAAAAGUGUGAGACCGAGGGCCUUAUCAAACGCUCCGAGGAGCUGACUGCAGCGACGAUCACCCGGGAAGGAACACACCGGACAAGUUGGAAAGGUUUUCCACAGUGACGGCAGCCAAAACGAGAUUAUGGAUCAGUCUAAACAUAAGCAGCACACUUCGGGUGUCACUGUCCUUCAUCACCCUCAGAUGGGAUCAUUGAGUAGCAGGAAAUCAAGCUCGAGACUCCCACUGAUUCUGCAUUGUGUGAGGUGUGCAGUUAUUUCAUAAUCUAUUACAACAUAAUAAAAAUACAAAUAAAGCCUACAAUAAAUAUAAUGUACUUGAAUCAUUCUCCAUUAAUGGAAAAGUUGUCUUCCAUGAAACCAGUCCCUGGUGCCAAAAAAUUUGAAGAUUUCUGGCCUAAAAUAUAAUCUACCCUGGAGAAUGUUCCAUGUGCACUUGAGAAAAAUGCUGGGGAGAAUGUUGCAUGUGUGUAUGUCUGACUAUUAUGUCCAUUUAAUCUAUAGCAUUCACGUCUACUGUCUGUUGAUUUUCUGUCUGGAUAGUCUAUCCAUUGUUGAAAGUGGUUAUAAUGAAGGUUACUAUUACUGUAUUCCUAUUUCUCAUUCAGUUCUGCUCCUAUUUGCAGUAUAUAUUCAGCAGUUCUGAUGUUAGAUGCAUAGAUAUUUACAGCUGCUAUAUCCUGUCAAGGAACUGAUCCCUGUGUCAGUACCUAAGAACUUUCUUUUCCUCUUGCGACAGUGUUUGGCAAAAGGCUAUUUAAUCUGACAUAAGUAUAGCCACCUCUGCUUUCUUCAGGUUACAUUUGCAUGAAAUAUCUUUUUCAUCUCUUCACUUUAUACUACUUGUGUCUUUAAUGCUAAAGUGAGUCCCUUUGGGGCAGAGUAUAGUUGAGUGUUUUUAAAAAAUAUAUUGUACGUUGUAUUUUAAAAUGCACUUAAAAUACAUUAUAAAAUACCAGAAUUCAUUCUGUUUCUUUUGAUCAAAGGUUUUAAUAAAGUUAUAUUUAAAAUAAUUAUUGACAUGUAAGAAUUUACUACUGUAAUUUUGUUAACUAUGUUUUUACUAUUUUGUAGUGUCUUUGUUCCCCA
RNAcentral lists this long non-coding RNA (2793 nucleotides) under Heterocephalus glaber (naked mole-rat). RNAcentral describes it as "lncRNA (ENSHGLG00000032342.1)". Lineage: Eukaryota; Metazoa; Chordata; Mammalia; Rodentia; Bathyergidae. The record is from RNAcentral.